Molecule: ribosomal RNA, 229 nt
Filed under: uncultured bacterium
Lineage: Bacteria
Description: partial 16S ribosomal RNA
Rfam family: Bacterial small subunit ribosomal RNA
Source: RNAcentral
UCCGUAGGCGGGCAGCUAAGUCAGUGGUGAAAGUCUGCAGCUCAACUGUAGAAUUGCCAUUGAUACUGGUUGUCUUGAAUUAUUAUGAAGUGGUUAGAAUAUGUAGUGUAGCGGUGAAAUGCAUAGAUAUUACAUAGAAUACCAAUUGCGAAGGCAGAUCACUAAUAAUAUAUUGACGCUGAUGGACGAAAGCGUGGGGAGCGAACAAGAUUAGAUACCCUGGUAGUCC